GUCAUUGAUUUCAUUUCAAAGAAUAUCCAAUCAAUGUUUGUUUUAUUUGCCGUGAAAUAGUUUCGACUUACAAAAUUUUAAAACUACAAACAUAUUUUUGCAAUGCAGUUUAAGAAACCAGAAGUAUAUUUUUUAGUAGGAAAACGUAUCACUGAUGAUUCAUUUUGCGAUAUAAUUGUAUUACGAGAAACCAAAGACCUAAUACCAGUACUCAUAAUUUAACAUGUUAUCACAAAUUUGAAUCCUGCGAAAUACGCUGCCCACAAUGAAACCACAAAUUCAAAAAUUUAAUUCAAGAAACUUGCUGAAUAUGUGGUCAAAUUUUACAAAACUAAAUUUGAAGUAAAAUAAUACUGUGAAACUGGAUAGAGAUUGAAUGGGUCACAUUUUCAAAGAAAGCUUCAUAACUGUUUGCUAGUUAGAAAAUGUGAUGGAUUAAAUCUCAACUGCAAUAAUUAAAAAAUAAUAGAUAUACACAAUAUCAAAUUAACCAAAUAUCGCUUGAGAUUUUCUUCGGAACUUUUCACAAACAUAUGACUUUUCAAUUCCAAAAGGAUAACGAUAACAAUGAGUUAGAUGGGAAAAUUGCAGCACUCGUAUAUUAUGCGCUCAUGCUUGCAUCGCAGAUACGAGGGAAAACUGUGGUAAAUAUUGAUUUUUCACACCAGUAUAUAAUAGCACAACCGGAGAUCUCGUGAAUUUUAUUCAAUUAACACCGAAAUGUAGCAUUAGACCAUCGAUUGGAAACGGAGCAAAAAAAACACAUACAUACAAAAUUUAAAUCUCCCAGUGUAUGGGCAUAUCUAAGUUUAAGCAUGUGCCCUAAAAAUGUAAAAAGCCAAAGUUAUUUAAUUUUUUAUGGCAAAUACUGGCAUUACCAAAUCAUUGACUACAGCAGCAGGAGAAGAAACUAAAGGUACUUCAAAUAAUAAAUACGACUAAUGUAAAUAAACAUAAUUCAACUGGUAAUGAAGUAUACAUAUUUCUGUAUGAUGCUACUGUUGCAUGCAUGGAGUUAGUAAAAAUAAAAACCUAAUAGCAAGCAACAAACCGAUUGAAAU
Molecule: long non-coding RNA, 1061 nt
Organism: Zeugodacus cucurbitae (melon fly)
Lineage: Eukaryota; Metazoa; Arthropoda; Insecta; Diptera; Tephritidae
Exons: 3
Source: RefSeq, a predicted model, not a curated record